RNAcentral lists this small nucleolar RNA (67 nucleotides) under Paramormyrops kingsleyae. The record is from RNAcentral. Lineage: Eukaryota; Metazoa; Chordata; Actinopteri; Osteoglossiformes; Mormyridae.
UGUCAACCAUGGUAUUCUUGCCUGACUCUCACAUGGAGGUGAAAUACUGAUUUAAUGAGCCUGACAC